UUGGUAAGAUAAAAGCUUACCAAGGCAACGAUGGGUAGCCGGCCUGAGAGGGUGAACGGCCACACUGGAACUGAGACACGGUCCAGACUCCUACGGGAGGCAGCAGUGGGGAAUAUUGCACAAUGGAGGGAACUCUGAUGCAGCGACGUCGCGUGAACGAUGAAGGCUUUCGGGUCGUAAAGUUCUGUCCUUGGGGAAGAUAAUGACGGUACCCAAGGAGGAAGCCCCGGCUAACUACGUGCCAGCAGCCGCGGUAAUACGUAGGGGGCGAGCGUUGUCCGGAUUUAUUGGGCGUAAAGGGUUCGCAGGCGGCCAUUUAAGUCAGAUGUGAAAGAUCACGGCUCAACUGUGGUAAGCAUUUGAAACUGGAAGGCUUGAGUUAAGGAGAGGAAAGUGGAAUUCCUAGUGUAGCGGUGAAAUGCGUAGAUAUUAGGAGGAAUACCAGUGGCGAAGGCGACUUUCUGGACUUAUACUGACGCUGAGGAACGAAAGCGUGGGGAGCAAACAGGAUUAGAUACCCUGGUAGUCCACGCCGUAAACGAUGAGUGCUAGGUGUCGGGUGUCAAAGCUCGGU
Molecule: ribosomal RNA, 574 nt
Filed under: uncultured bacterium
Lineage: Bacteria
Description: bacterial SSU rRNA
Rfam family: Bacterial small subunit ribosomal RNA
Source: RNAcentral